Molecule: ribosomal RNA, 577 nt
Filed under: Phoma sp. RKDO784
Lineage: Eukaryota; Fungi; Ascomycota; Dothideomycetes; Pleosporales; Didymellaceae
Description: eukaryotic LSU rRNA
Rfam family: Eukaryotic large subunit ribosomal RNA
Source: RNAcentral
UGCCCUAGUAACGGCGAGUGAAGCGGCAACAGCUCAAAUUUGAAAUCUGGCUCUUUUAGGGUCCGAGUUGUAAUUUGCAGAGGGCGCUUUGGCGUUGGCAGCGGUCCAAGUUCUUUGGAACAGGACGUCACAGAGGGUGAGAAUCCCGUACGUGGUCGCUAGCCUUCGCCGUGUAAAGCCCCUUCGACGAGUCGAGUUGUUUGGGAAUGCAGCUCUAAAUGGGAGGUAAAUUUCUUCUAAAGCUAAAUACUGGCCAGAGACCGAUAGCGCACAAGUAGAGUGAUCGAAAGAUGAAAAGCACUUUGGAAAGAGAGUCAAAUAGCACGUGAAAUUGUUGAAAGGGAAGCGCUUGCAGCCAGACUUGCCUGUAGUUGCUUAUCUAGACUUUUGUCUAGUGCACUCUUCUGCGGGCAGGCCAGCAUCAGUUUAGGCGGUUGGAUAAAGGUCUCUAUCACGUACCUCCCUUCGGGGUUGGCCUUAUAGGGGAGACGACAUGCAGCCAGCCUGAACUGAGGUCCGCGCAUCUGCUAGGAUGCUGGCGUAAUGGCUGUAAGCGGCCCGUCUUGAAACACGGACC